CGUUCCCGGGCCUUGUACACACCGCCCGUCACACCACGAAAGCGAGCAACACCCGAAGCCGGUGGCCUAACCCGCAAGGGAGGGAGCCGUCGAACGGUGGGGCCCGUGAUUGGGGUG
This 117-nucleotide ribosomal RNA is filed under the name uncultured bacterium. RNAcentral's name for it is "partial 16S ribosomal RNA". It matches the Rfam family "Bacterial small subunit ribosomal RNA", at positions 1369 to 1482 of the family's 1533-position model. The record is from RNAcentral.